AAAGAUUAAGCCAUGCAUGUCUGAGUUCACGCCCUUUAAACGGGUAGACUGUGAACGGCUCAUUACAACAGUUAAAAUCCGCGCGAAGUUAGUCUCUUGGAUACUUCUAGUAAUUCUGGAGCUAAUACACGUGUGCACUUCGGUGUCAUUUAUUAGAUUCACCAACCGCUUCGGCGUUAAGUGAUGAUUCUGAAUAUCUUGCAGACCGCAUGCGAAAGCGGCGGCGGUUCGCGCAAUUAACUGCCCUAUCAACUUUUGAUGGUAGUUUAGUUGACUACCAUGGUCGUAACGGGUAACGGAGGAUCAGGGUUUGACUCCGGAGAGGAUGCCUGAGAAACGGCAACCACAUCUAAGGAAGGCAGCAGGCGCGCAAAUUACCCACUCUCAAUUCGAGGAGGUAGUGACAACAACUAACGAGACUGCUCCCUUUGGGAACAGUCAUCGAAAUGGGUACAAUUUAAACCCUUUAACGAGGAUCAAUGAGAGGGUAAGUCUGGUGCCAGCAGCCGCGGUAAUUCCAGCUCUCAAAGUGUAUGUCAUUAUUGCUGCGGUUAAAAAGCUCGUAGUUGGAUCUGAGCCUUUGGCGACAGUUCGUUUUCAUGCGAUACUGUGGCCGGGGUUAAUUUUGUCGGUUCGCCGGCAAGAGUUACUCUGAAUAAAUCAGAGUGCUCAAAACAAGCGUUUCGCUUGAAUGUUUUUGCAUGGAAUAAUGGAAAAGGACUUCGGUUCCUUACUGUUGGUUUCGGAAUUGGAUUAAUGAUUAAGAGGGACCAACGGGGGCAUGCGUACCGCUACGCGAGAGGUGAAAUUCAUGGACCGUAGCGUGACGACCUAAAGCGAAAGCAUUUGCCGAGAAUG
RNAcentral lists this ribosomal RNA (858 nucleotides) under Mesorhabditis sp. WB-2009. RNAcentral describes it as "SSU rRNA". It matches the Rfam family "Eukaryotic small subunit ribosomal RNA", at positions 39 to 966 of the family's 1831-position model. The record is from RNAcentral. Lineage: Eukaryota; Metazoa; Nematoda; Chromadorea; Rhabditida; Rhabditidae.